GAGUUUGAUCCUGGCUCAGAUUGAACGCUGGUGGCAGGCCUAACACAUGCAAGUCGAGCGGAAACGAGUUAUCUGAACCUUCGGGGAACGAUAACGGCGUCGAGCGGCGGACGGGUGAGUAAUGCCUAGGAAAUUGCCCUGAUGUGGGGGAUAACCAUUGGAAACGAUGGCUAAUACCGCAUGAUGCCUACGGGCCAAAGAGGGGGACCUUCGGGCCUCUCGCGUCAGGAUAUGCCUAGGUGGGAUUAGCUAGUUGGUGAGGUAAGGGCUCACCAAGGCAACGAUCCCUAGCUGGUCUGAGAGGAUGAUCAGCCACACUGGAACUGAGACACGGUCCAGACUCCUACGGGAGGCAGCAGUGGGGAAUAUUGCACAAUGGGCGCAAGCCUGAUGCAGCCAUGCCGCGUGUGUGAAGAAGGCCUUCGGGUUGUAAAGCACUUUCAGUCGUGAGGAAGGUAGUGUAGUUAAUAGCUGCAUUAUUUGACGUUAGCGACAGAAGAAGCACCGGCUAACUCCGUGCCAGCAGCCGCGGUAAUACGGAGGGUGCGAGCGUUAAUCGGAAUUACUGGGCGUAAAGCGCAUGCAGGUGGUUUGUUAAGUCAGAUGUGAAAGCCCGGGGCUCAACCUCGGAAUAGCAUUUGAAACUGGCAGACUAGAGUACUGUAGAGGGGGGUAGAAUUUCAGGUGUAGCGGUGAAAUGCGUAGAGAUCUGAAGGAAUACCGGUGGCGAAGGCGGCCCCCUGGACAGAUACUGACACUCAGAUGCGAAAGCGUGGGGAGCAAACAGGAUUAGAUACCCUGGUAGUCCACGCCGUAAACGAUGUCUACUUGGAGGUUGUGGCCUUGAGCCGUGGCUUUCGGAGCUAACGCGUUAAGUAGACCGCCUGGGGAGUACGGUCGCAAGAUUAAAACUCAAAUGAAUUGACGGGGGCCCGCACAAGCGGUGGAGCAUGUGGUUUAAUUCGAUGCAACGCGAAGAACCUUACCUACUCUUGACAUCCAGAGAACUUUCCAGAGAUGGAUUGGUGCCUUCGGGAACUCUGAGACAGGUGCUGCAUGGCUGUCGUCAGCUCGUGUUGUGAAAUGUUGGGUUAAGUCCCGCAACGAGCGCAACCCUUAUCCUUGUUUGCCAGCGAGUAAUGUCGGGAACUCCAGGGAGACUGCCGGUGAUAAACCGGAGGAAGGUGGGGACGACGUCAAGUCAUCAUGGCCCUUACGAGUAGGGCUACACACGUGCUACAAUGGCGCAUACAGAGGGCGGCCAACUUGCGAAAGUGAGCGAAUCCCAAAAAGUGCGUCGUAGUCCGGAUUGGAGUCUGCAACUCGACUCCAUGAAGUCGGAAUCGCUAGUAAUCGUGGAUCAGAAUGCCACGGUGAAUACGUUCCCGGGCCUUGUACACACCGCCCGUCACACCAUGGGAGUGGGCUGCAAAAGAAGUAGGUAGUUUAACCUUCGGGGGGACGCUUACCACUUUGUGGUUCAUGACUGGGGUGAAGUCGUAACAAGGUAACC
RNAcentral lists this ribosomal RNA (1513 nucleotides) under uncultured Vibrio sp. RNAcentral's name for it is "bacterial SSU rRNA". It matches the Rfam family "Bacterial small subunit ribosomal RNA". Lineage: Bacteria; Pseudomonadati; Pseudomonadota; Gammaproteobacteria; Vibrionales; Vibrionaceae. The record is from RNAcentral.